AAGUCGUAACAAGGUUUCCGUAGGUGAACCUGCGGAAGGAUCAUUAAUACGCUUUUGUUUGUAACAAAACAAAACGUUUUAAACCCCAAAAUUGAAAUAGUGGAAACAUAUCUUCCGGAUGCGAAUGUUGGGGAACUGAGUAAAAUCGGUUCUUUGAAAAAGGGACUUCAAGCAAUUGACACUUCAGAGUAGAGCAGUGAGGUGAAACUCGAAAGAGUUUGGUUCUGAAAAACAUUUGUAUCCGGUUAUCAAAUCUGUUCUACAAACAAAAUAUAAAACAAUAAACCCCAUGUACAACAACUUGACUAAACAUUUUUUUGUUGUCUGCUUCGCGGCAGAUGUGCAAAGAAAAAACCUGAACUUAAGAACAACUUUCAACAACGGAUCUCUUGGUUCUG
RNAcentral lists this unclassified non-coding RNA (398 nucleotides) under fungal sp. RNAcentral's name for it is "partial internal transcribed spacer region". The stretch from base 1 to 46 matches the Rfam family "Eukaryotic small subunit ribosomal RNA", at positions 1786 to 1831 of the family's 1831-position model. Lineage: Eukaryota; Fungi. The record is from RNAcentral.